UACGUAAGGACCGAGCGUUGUCCGGAAUUAUUGGGCGUAAAGGGAGCGCAGGCGGUUGGAAUAGUCUGAUGUGAAAGCCCCCGGCUCAACCGGGGAGGGUCAUUGGAAACUGGGAGACUUGAGUGCAGAAGAGGAGAGUGGAAUUCCAUGUGUAGCGGUGAAAUGCGUAGAUAUAUGGAGGAACACCAGUGGCGAAGGCGACUUACUGGUCUGUGAUUGACGCUGAGGCUCGAAAGCGUGGGUAGCGAACAGG
This 253-nucleotide ribosomal RNA is filed under the name uncultured bacterium. RNAcentral's name for it is "partial 16S ribosomal RNA". It matches the Rfam family "Bacterial small subunit ribosomal RNA", at positions 524 to 776 of the family's 1533-position model. The record is from RNAcentral.